GUGAGGAAUAUUGCGCAAUGGAGGCAACUCUGACGCAGCCAUGCCGCGUGCAGGAAGAAGGCGCUACGCGUUGUAAACUGCUUUUAACCGGGAAGAAACCCCAGGACGUGUCCUGGGUUGACGGUACCGGAGGAAUAAGCACCGGCUAACUUCGUGCCAGCAGCCGCGGUAAUACGAAGGGUGCAAGCGUUAUCCGGUUUCAUUGGGUUUAAAGGGUGCGUAGGCGGAGCGUUAAGUCAGUGGUGAAAUCCUGCAGCUUAACUGUAGACUUGCCAUUGAUACUGGCGCUCUUGAGUGCGCUUGAAGUGGGCGGAAUGUGCCGUGUAGCGGUGAAAUGCUUAGAUAUGGCACAGAACACCAAUUGCGAAGGCAGCUCACUAAGGCGAUACUGACGCUGAGGCACGAAAGCGUGGGGAUCGAACAGGAUUAGAAACCCUUGUAGUCC
Molecule: ribosomal RNA, 445 nt
Filed under: uncultured bacterium
Lineage: Bacteria
Description: partial 16S ribosomal RNA
Rfam family: Bacterial small subunit ribosomal RNA
Source: RNAcentral